GUCAGAGAGAGGGGGUGUGACAAGGUCAGAGAAAGGGACAUGAUGUGUUCUGAGAGAGGGACAUGACAAGGUCAGAGAGUGGGGUAGAGAGGGGUGUGACAAGGUCAGAGAGAGGGUGUGACAAGGUCAGAGAGAGGGGUGUGACAAGGUCAGAGAGAGGGACGUGACAAGGUCAGAGAGUGGGGCAGAGAGGGACGUGACAAGGUCAGAGAGAGGGACGUGACAAGGUCAGAGAGAGGGGUGUGACAAGGUCAGAGAGAGGGGUGUGACAAGGUCAGAGAGUGGGGCAGAGAGGGGUGUGACAAGGUCAGAGAGAGGGGUGUGACAAGGUCAGAGAGAGGGGUGUGACAAGGUCAGAGAGAGGGGUUUAACAAGGUCAGAGAGAGGGACGUG
Molecule: long non-coding RNA, 393 nt
Filed under: Haliotis rubra (blacklip abalone)
Lineage: Eukaryota; Metazoa; Mollusca; Gastropoda; Lepetellida; Haliotidae
Description: uncharacterized LOC124289280, transcript variant X11
Source: RNAcentral